CGAGUGGCGGACGGGUGAGGAAUACAUCGGAAUCUACUCUGUCGUGGGGGAUAACGUAGGGAAACUUACGCUAAUACCGCAUACGACCUACGGGUGAAAGCAGGGGAUCUUCGGACCUUGCGCGAUUGAAUGAGCCGAUGUCGAAUUAGCUAGUUGGCGGGGUAAAGGCCCACCAAGGCGACGAUCCGUAGCUGGUCUGAGAGGAUGAUCAGCCACACUGGAACUGAGACACGGUCCAGACUCCUACGGGAGGCAGCAGGG
Molecule: ribosomal RNA, 261 nt
Filed under: uncultured Stenotrophomonas sp.
Lineage: Bacteria; Pseudomonadati; Pseudomonadota; Gammaproteobacteria; Lysobacterales; Lysobacteraceae
Description: partial 16S ribosomal RNA
Rfam family: Bacterial small subunit ribosomal RNA
Source: RNAcentral